This is a non-coding RNA of Podarcis lilfordi (Lilford's wall lizard), 3410 nucleotides long. The record is from the annotation of a GenBank genome assembly. NCBI's taxonomy places the organism in Eukaryota, Metazoa, Chordata, Lepidosauria, Squamata, Lacertidae.
AUGGGCAUCUAUGAGAACAGGAUGCUGGACUAGAUUGGCUUCUUCUUAUGUUUUUACAAGCGAAACUUCAUGCUCUUUCGUCUUCAGUAGGUUGAAUGAUCCGAACAGAUAAUUAACUCUAUCAAUGCUUCAUUUUUACAUAUACACACAUGCACAUAUAUAACCCUAAUGAGUUAUUUUUAAUUCCCAUGAUGAGCAAGACAGAAGUAAGGAGCAGAGCUGAACUGAGUAGCCCCACCACCAAUGUCAUAUUCUCCUUCUCUAAUGUCAAUACAUACAUUUAAAUGCCGUUGCACACACAAAGGCAUCUUGAGGAUUAGGGUCACAGAAUUUGGAGAAGCCAUCAUUUAUACAAGUAGACACAAAAGACACCCUGUAUGCACACCUGUCAAGAGAGGAGGGUCCAACAUUUAAGGUGGAGCUACUCAGCACAGCCAAACUCACUGCUCUCAUGUUAUUCAACAAUGGAGUGAAGAAUACCUAAGUAGGGCUAAUAUCUAUGGGUGCUAUUCAACUGAGUGUUAAAUAGUGUGGAUCCAUUAAAGUUAAUGGACCUAAUUUCAUUAAUGUAGUGGGUCUGCCCUAUAAUCUAUACACACAAGACAAAAUGGUCUUCCAUCUAAGGAAAGUAAAUUAAUAAGAAAAAAAACAAAUAAACAUAAAUUCUGUGGUAUAAGUGCUUUUCAAAGCACAGUGGCCUGAACAGCAGGGGGAUUUCUUCUUUUAUCAUUCCCAUUUCAUUUCACCAAAAUUGUCAUCACACAGUAAUAUGGAAACACCAUUAAGAUCAACAUUUGGAUAAAUUUGGAUAAAUGAGGAAAGAAACAGAAAGGCUCAUAUAAACACAACUUUUUCAAUCAGCUAUUUAAGGCUAUUCUAUUCAUUUUUAAUUUUUACUUAAAGUAUUUUAAUGCCCCCAUUGUAUAUUACCAGGUACACAAUUAAAAUACAAUACCAUAUAACAACGGUGGGGAACCUAUUUAGCCUGGCGGGGCAGGUUUUAUCUCCCCCUGUUGGCCAACUUUGAUGGGUGGGAGGAACAACCCACCUGUCAGUCAUUAGGUGUCAUCAUGACACCUGGUGAUUGACACCUGUCAAAGUCCCUUUUACAGCACUUACCAAGCGCCAGAACCAGCUGGUUGUCAGGCACUUAGGAAGCACUAAACAAUGGCUUUGCAAUUCCUAUGCUCAGCACUUGGGGAUUGCCAGAGCAUAGCAGGGAAAGCAUGCAAUAGCCUCAGGGCCAUUGCAGAAAAGGCCCCUUUUCAGGAGUAUUUCUGAGAGAAGGCAUCUGCCACCCUGUUCUCUUUCAUGCUCCAGACCUCUCAACCCAAACCUUGCCUUCUGUCACAAACAUCAGUCUGAUUCUUCUCCUAUACUUCAAGUGCUGAUGAAUUAAAAACCAUAACAGAAACAGGAAACAGUUUGUUAUCUCUUAAUUCUGAUUUACUUUGCACGUAAACAGAGUGGAGUGAAUCAUAUUUCAUGCCAAGGAAUUUAUUUUCCUGUCAAUAACAAUCUUGUUAGCCGCAUUGUGAGCAGAAAUAUUCACGUCUGGAUCUGCAAAGUGUAUGAGGCACGCUUACUUAUGUACUAAUCCUAAGAGGACAAUGCUCGAGAGAUAAGAGGCAGUGGCUGGAGUCAAGACAUUGCUUGGCUCAUUCAAAACAUCUCAAUUAUGGCCAAUCACGGUCAAUGCCACCCACAGGGAAGAAUUAGAUAAGGAAACAAUUCUCUCUCUCUCUCUAAGGGGACACUUGGGCUUACAGGAUAAUAAUUUUGCUGACAACACGGAGGCCACUAAUUCAUAAUGAAUAAUUUAUUCCAUGCUUUCUUCUACCUUUUGCUUCUUUCUUACUUAUUCUAAUUUUGCCCAAUCAGACUCCCCACCUGUCCCCUCAGAUUUGAACUGUAAUCAGAUUUAUCUGAAGAAGAAAAAUCUUUCACUGAAUGUACUGAUGUUCAGAUAUAAUUCAUUGACAAUAUACUAGCAAAUAACAUUUGAUUGGAUGUGCUUUAACAAGGCAAUCCAUUUCUUACAGAUACAUAUUGCAUGAUGUGCUUACCUAUGCUCUCAGAAUGGUAAGUGCUAGGUGUAUGGAACUGUCAGGGCCGGCCCACCCAUGAGGCGAAGUGAGGUGAUGCCUUAGGCAGCAGGAUCCACAGGGGCAGCAGAUCCCCGUUGUAGCUCUUUAUUCUGCCAACCCUCCCUUGUUCCUGAUGCAGACCUUCACAUACCCCUUCUUCUCUGAUGGGGAGGGAGACACCAUUUUGUGCCAAAAUGUUUUGGUCUGUCGCUGAGAACUGUUCUGUGAUGGGGCCAAAUAACAAGGCAAAUCAAGGUGAUUUGAGGAGAUUUUAUCCCAUCCUGAGUUGAACCACAUUGUCACCAACCCUUCUCUCCACCCCAUGGUCAGAAGAGGAUCCACUGGGUGGUCUUGGGCAAGUUAUUAAGCUUCAAAUUAUAACCACUUCAGGAACAACCACUUCACAAAGCUCUUGCAAAACUCUAUCUUCAUCCAAGUUAUAUUCUGUUUUAAAAUUUCUAUAUAAGUGUUUAGCAGUAAUCAUGAAAAUGCUUAAGACUGCUCUGUUUGCAAAAUCUGUCAGAAUGCCAUAGGUUUAUUCACUAGAACUCUGCAUUUCUAAGUAAUCUAAAAUCCCAAUUGGAGCAAAUUAGAACAUAUGUUAUCUGCAGUGGGAUGUUGUUUUUGCAGGGUGCAGGGCAAUAAUUCUUUAUGAAAUUACUGAAGAUAAAAUACAUGAUAUCUACUAUUUGGUAUUCUUGCUGAUAUUUUUACACACAGCAAGAAAAAUUCUGUCUUUGCCUUGGGGAUGCAGCAGUAAUCAUUUGAUUCAUAUUCAAUGUUGGGAUGUAUUGUUUUUGUAGAAUUAUACACCAUUGCUUGGUACCAACCUCCAAAGAUCCUUGGCUUAUGAAAAGACAUGAGCAACAGAAAGGAAAUCAUGGUCUGAGAACAGAACUUCAUGUCAGAUAUAGAAGACACACAGAAAGAAAUAAUAUAUGUGAACAGUCUGGUUUUCAUUAUUUAAACGUUAUUUUGGGUGCUUCUGAGAAACCAGUGGGGUGGGGUACAAACUCAGGCUAUUUUUUCUUAUGUGAAUUCAGGCCAGAUUUAUUGGCAAUCUUACCAUGUGAAAAUAUAUUUUAUUAAAAUAAUAUUCUCAUUUGCUAAUUCCUGCUUGCUUCCCAUCCUACAUGAGCUGAGGACCCAUUGACAAAUGGCAACUGUACUCAUAAAUCAGUUAUGUGGUGAAAGGCAACAGUCACUUGACAAAUUGGAGACUUCUCUUUAUUUUAUGUCUCAGUACAGUUUACAUGAUGAAAAUAGUUGAGAAAGUGUUUAGAUGGGGUAAAAUUGUGUGCAUUCCCUAGAAAUUGUUACAGC